Molecule: unclassified non-coding RNA, 498 nt
Filed under: Drosophila ananassae
Lineage: Eukaryota; Metazoa; Arthropoda; Insecta; Diptera; Drosophilidae
Description: GF22437
Source: RNAcentral
UUCAUGGCCGCCGGGGACCUGCGUCCAAUUGCCGUCCAUUUUGUGCAUGUUUGUUUUUGUUUUUGGUUUUGUGCGUAUACGUCACAUGCAGGCCCCCCAAGCGCCAGCAAAGUACCGCUAACUUGUCAAAGCAAAUGCACUUUCCUUUGUCAUGCCUAUUCGUGAAUAUUGAACUUGUUUGUGCUUGUCACUUGGUGGCGCCUUAUCACAUGGCACUUGGAUUAACGGGAACAGUUAUUAAAUUGUGACCUUAUUUCAAGAAAACAACAGAAAUCUAAAAUUAUUUUCACGAAAAAAAUAAUAGUAACAUCACUGGAUCGAUUGGAGAUUGGAGAUACAGUUUAAAUUUUUCAAAAAUAUAUUGUAUUGAUUGGAAUUAAUUAAAAAACAGACACUUCUUCACUAUAUUGUCCAGGUCCUUUGUGUAGCACUCCUGGCACUCCUCGCCGCCGUCCAGGCGAAGCCCGGCGGACCGGCCGCCUACUCCAUCAGCGCCCC